CUUGAGUCUCGUAGAGGGGGGUAGAAUUCCAGGUGUAGCGGUGAAAUGCGUAGAGAUCUGGAGGAAUACCGGUGGCGAAGGCGGCCCCCUGGACGAGACUGACGCUCAGGUGCGAAAGCGUGGGGGGCAAACAGGAUUAGAUACCCUGGUAGUCCACGCCGUAAACGAUGUCGACUUGGAGGUUGUGCCCUUGAGGCGUGGCUUCCGGAGCUAACGCGUUAAGUCGACCGCCUGGGGAGUACGGCCGCAAGGUUAAAACUCAAAUGAAUUGACGGGGGCCCGCACAAGCGGUGGAGCAUGUGGUUUAAUUCGAUGCAACGCGAAGAACCUUACCUGGUCUUGACAUCCACGGAAGUUUUCAGAGAUGAGAAUGUGCCUUCGGGAACCGUGAGACAGGUGCUGCAUGGCUGUCGUCAGCUCGUGUUGUGAAAUGUUGGGUUAAGUCCCGCAACGAGCGCAACCCUUAUCCUUUGUUGCCAGCGGUCCGGCCGGGAACUCAAAGGAGACUGCCAGUGAUAAACUGGAGGAAGGUGGGGAUGACGUCAAGUCAUCAUGGCCCUUACGACCAGGGCUACACACGUGCUACAAUGGCGCAUACAAAGAGAAGCGACCUCGCGAGAGCAAGCGGACCUCAUAAAGUGCGUCGUAGUCCGGAUUGGAGUCUGCAACUCGACUCCAUGAAGUCGGAAUCGCUAGUAAUCGUGGAUCAGAAUGCCACGGUGAAUACGUUCCCGGGCCUUGUACACACCGCCCGUCACACCAUGGGAGUGGGUUGCAAAAGAAGUAGGUAGCUUAACCUUCGGGAGGGCGCUUACCACUUUGUGAUUCAUGACUGGGGUGAAGUCGUAACAAGGUAACCA
Molecule: ribosomal RNA, 860 nt
Filed under: uncultured Shigella sp.
Lineage: Bacteria; Pseudomonadati; Pseudomonadota; Gammaproteobacteria; Enterobacterales; Enterobacteriaceae
Description: bacterial SSU rRNA
Rfam family: Bacterial small subunit ribosomal RNA
Source: RNAcentral